This 90-nucleotide transfer RNA is filed under the name Candidatus Saccharimonadota bacterium. Its description in RNAcentral is "tRNA-Ser". It matches the Rfam family "tRNA". Rfam says of the family: Transfer RNA (tRNA) molecules are approximately 80 nucleotides in length. Their secondary structure includes four short double-helical elements and three loops (D, anti-codon, and T loops). The record is from RNAcentral. Lineage: Bacteria; Candidatus Saccharimonadota.
GGAGGGGUCGCAUAGUGGCCUAGUGCGCUCGCUUGGAAAGCGAGUAAGGGGGCAACUCCUUCGAGAGUUCGAAUCUCUCCCUCUCCGCCA